AACGAACGCUGGCGGCAUGCCUAACACAUGCAAGUCGAACGAGACCUUCGGGUCUAGUGGCGCACGGGUGCGUAACGCGUGGGAACCUGCCCUUAGGUUCGGAAUAACUCCCCGAAAGGGGUGCUAAUACCGGAUAAUGUCUUCGGACCAAAGAUUUAUCGCCUUUGGUUGGGCCCGCGUUGGAUUAGCUAGUUGGUAGGGUAAAAGCCUACCAAGGCGACGAUCCAUAGCUGGUCUGAGAGGAUGAUCAGCCACACUGGGACUGAGACACGGCCCAGACUCCUACGGGAGGCGGCAGUGGGGAAUAUUGGACAAUGGGCGAAAGCCUGAUCCAGCAAUGCCGCGUGAGUGAUGAAGGCCUUAGGGUUGUAAAGCUCUUUUACCCGGGAUGAUAAUGACAGUACCGGGAGAAUAAGCUCCGGCUAACUCCGUG
This 433-nucleotide ribosomal RNA is filed under the name uncultured bacterium. Its description in RNAcentral is "partial 16S ribosomal RNA". It matches the Rfam family "Bacterial small subunit ribosomal RNA", at positions 29 to 507 of the family's 1533-position model. The record is from RNAcentral.